AGUGAACGCUGGCGGUAGGCCUAACACAUGCAAGUCGAACGGCAGCACAGUAAGAGCUUGCUCUUACGGGUGGCGAGUGGCGGACGGGUGAGGAAUACAUCGGAAUCUACUUUUUCGUGGGGGAUAACGUAGGGAAACUUACGCUAAUUCCGCAUACGACCUACGGGUGAAAGCAGGGGAUCUUCGGACCUUGCGCGAUUGAAUGAGCCGAUGUCGGAUUAGCUAGUUGGCGGGGUAAAGGCCCACCAAGGCGACGAUCCGUAGCUGAUCUGAGAGGAUGAUCAGCCACACUGGAACUGAGACACGGUCCAGACUCCUACGGGAGGCAGCAGUGGGGAAUAUUGGACAAUGGGCGCAAGCCUGAUCCAGCCAUACCGCGUGAGUGAAGAAGGCCUUCGGGUUGUAAAGCCCUGUUGUUGGGAAAGAAAAGCAGCAGGUGAAUACCCCGCUGUUCUGACGGUACCCAAAGAAUAAGCACCGGCUAACUUCGUG
This 492-nucleotide ribosomal RNA is filed under the name uncultured bacterium. Its description in RNAcentral is "partial 16S ribosomal RNA". It matches the Rfam family "Bacterial small subunit ribosomal RNA", at positions 29 to 507 of the family's 1533-position model. The record is from RNAcentral.